This 16994-nucleotide long non-coding RNA is filed under the name Sorghum bicolor (sorghum). RNAcentral describes it as "long non-coding RNA (SBIC_LNC015499)". Lineage: Eukaryota; Viridiplantae; Streptophyta; Magnoliopsida; Poales; Poaceae. The record is from RNAcentral.
AUGCCCGCGGCUCCGUGUACGGCCCGUCCAAAGCUCCUUCGACGGCGCCGCCUAGGAACGCGGAGAAAAUAUGACAAAGGAACGGCCAAAAAUAAAAAGAAAGACCUUUCUUUUGAAAAAACAAACAAAAAAAGGAAUGCAACACGAGGACUUCCCAGGAGGUCACCCAUCCUAGUACUACUCUCGCCCAAGCACGCUUAACUUCAAAGUUAGGUAGUCAUCCGGUGCUUUAGUGCUGGUAUGAUCGCAUCCGACAUACCGUGCGUUCUCCUCCCCUUUAUGCCCGCGCCUCCGUGUACGGCCCGCCCAUAGCUCCUUCGACGGCGCCGCCUAGGAACGCGGAGAAAAUAUGACAAAGGAACGGCCAAAAAUAAAAAGAAAGACCUUUCUUUUGAAAAAACAAACAAAAAAAGGAAUGCAACACGAGGACUUCCCAGGAGGUCACCCAUCCCAGUACUACUCUCGCCCAAGCACGCUUAACUUCAGAGUUCUGAUGGGAUCCGGUGCUUUAGUGCUGGUAUGAUCGCAUCCGACAUACCGUGCGUUCUCCUCCCCUUUAUGCCCGCGCCUCCGUGUACGGCCCGCCCAUAGCUCCUUCGACGGCGCCGCCUAGGAACGCGGAGAAAAUAUGACAAAAGAACGGCCAAAAAUAAAAAGAAAGACCUUUCUUUUGAAAAAACAAACAAAAAAAGGAAUGCAACACGAGGACUUCCCAAGAGGUUACCCAUCCCAGUACUACUCUCGCCCAAGCACGCUUAACUUCGGAGUUCUGAUGGGAUCCGGUGCUUUAGUGCUGGUAUGAUCGCAUCCGAUAUACCGUGCGUUCUCCUCCCCUUUAUGCCCGCGCCUCCGUGUACGGCCCGCCCAUAGCUCGUUCGACGGCGCCGCCUAGGAACGCGGAGAAAAUAUGACAAAGGAACAGCCAAAAAUAAAAAGAAAGACCUUUCUUUUGAAAAAACAAACAAAAAAAAAGGAAUGCAACACGAGGACUUCCCAGGAGGUCACCCAUCCCAGUACUACUCUCGCCCAAGCACGCUUAACUUCGGAGUUCUGAUGGGAUCCGGUGCUUUAGUGCUGGUAUGAUCGCAUCCGACAUACCGUGCGUUCUCCUCCCCUUUAUGCCCGCGCCUCCGUGUACGGCCCGCCCAUAGCUCGUUCGACGCCGCCGCCUAGGAACGCGGAGAAAAUAUGACAAAGGAACGGCCAAAAAUAAAAAGAAAGAUCUUUCUUUUGAAAAAACAAACAAAAAAAGGAACGCAACACGAGGACUUCCCAGGAGGUCACCAAUCCUAGUACUACUCUCGCCCAAGCACGCUUAACUUCGGAGUUCUGAUGGGAUCCGGUGCUUUAGUGCUGGUAUGAUCGCAUCCGACAUACCGUGCGUUCUCCUCCCCUUUAUGCCCGCGCCUCCGUGUACGGCCCGCCCAUAGCUCGUUCGACGGCGCCGCCUAGGAACGCGGAGAAAAUAUGACAAAAGAACGGCCAAAAAUAAAAAGAAAGACCUUUCUUUUGAAAAAAGAAACAAAAAAAGGAAUGCAACACGAGGACUUCCCAAGAGGUCACCCAUCCUAGUGCUACUCUCGCCCAAGCACGCUUAACUUCGGAGUUCUGAUGGGAUCCGGUGCUUCAGUGCUGGUAUGAUCGCAUCCGACAUACCAUGCGUUCUCCUCUCCUUUAUGCCCGCGCCUCCGUGUACGGUCCGCCCAUAGCUCCUUCGACGCCGCCGCCUAGGAACGAGGAGAAAAUAUGACAAAGGAACGACCAAAAAUAAAAAGGAAGAUCUUUCUUUUGAAAAAACAAACAAAAAAAGGAAUGCAACACGAGGACUUCCCAGGAGGUCACCCAUCCCAGUACUACUCUCGCCCAAGCACGCUUAACUUCGGAGUUCUGAUGGGAUCCGGUGCUUUAGUGCUGGUAUGAUCGCAUCCGACAUACCGUGCGUUCUCCUCCCAUUUAUGCCCGCGCCUCCGUGUACGGCCCGCCCAUAGCUCCUUCGACGCCGCCGCCUAGGAACGCGGAGAAAAUAUGACAAAGGAACGGCCAAAAAUAAAAAGAAAGACCUUUCUUUUGAAAAAACAAACAAAAAAAGGAAUGCAACACGAGGACUUCCCAGGAGGUCACCCAUCCUAGUACUACUCUCGCCCAAGCACGCUUAACUUCGGAGUUCUGAUGGGAUCCGGUGCUUUAGUGCUAGUAUGAUCGCAUCCGACAUACCGUGCGUUCUCCUCCCAUUUAUGCCCGCGCCACCGUGUACGGCCCGCCCAUAGCUCCUUCGACGGCGCCGCCUAGGAACGCGGAGAAAAUAUGACAAAGGAACGGCCAAAAAUAAAAAGAAAGACCUUUCUUUUGGAAAAACAAACAAAAAAGGAAUGCAACACGAGGACUUCCCAGGAGGUCAUCCAUCCUAGUACUACUCUCGCCCAAGCACGCUUAACUUCGGAGUUCUGAUGGGAUCCGGUUCUUUAGUGCUGGUAUGAUCGCAUCCGACAUACGUUGCGUUCUCCUCCCCUUUAUGCCCGCGCCUCCGUGUACGGCCCGCCCAUAGCUCCUUCGACGGCGCCGCCUAGGAACGCGGAGAAAAUAUGACAAAGGAACGACUAAAAAUAAAAAGAAAGAUCUUUCUUUUGAAAAAACAAACAAAAAAAGGAAUGCAACACGAGGACUUCCGAGGAGGUCACCCAUCCCAGUACUACUCUCGCCCAAGCACGCUUAACAUCGGAGUUUCCGGUGCUUUAAUGCUGGUAUGAUCGCAUCCGACAUACCGUGCGUUCUCCUCCCCUUUAUGCCCGCGCCUCCGUGUACGGCCCGCCCAUAGCUCGUUCGACGGCGCCGCCUAGGAACGCGGAGAAAAUAUGACAAAGGAACAGCCAAAAAUAAAAAGAAAGACCUUUCUUUUGAAAAAACAAACAAGAAAAGGAAUGCAACACGAGGACUUCCCAGGAGGUCACCCAUCCCAGUACUACUCUCGCCCAAGCACGCUUAACUUCGGAGUUCUGAUGGGAUCCGGUGCUUUAGUGCUGGUAUGAUCGCAUCCGACAUACCGUGCGUUCUCCUCCCCUUUAUGCCCGCGCCUCCGUGUACGGCCCGCCCAUAGCUCGUUCGACGGCGCCGCCUAGGAACGCGGAGAAAAUAUGACAAAAGAACGGCCAAAAAUAAAAAGAAAGACCUUUCUUUUGAAAAAAGAAACAAAAAAAGGAAUGCAACACGAGGACUUCCCAAGAGGUCACCCAUCCUAGUGCUACUCUCGCCCAAGCACGCUUAACUUCGGAGUUCUGAUGGGAUCCGGUGCUUCAGUGCUGGUAUGAUCGCAUCCGACAUACCGUGCGUUCUCCUCUCCUUUAUGGCCACGCCUCCGUGUACGGUCCGCCCAUAGCUCCUUCGACGCCGCCGCCUAGGAACGCGGAGAAAAUAUGACAAAGGAACGACCAAAAAUAAAAAGAAAGAUCUUUCUUUUCAAAAAACAAACAAAAAAAGGAAUGCAACACGAGGACUUCCCAGGAGGUCACCCAUCCCAGUACUAUUCUCGCCCAAGCACGCUUAACUUCGGAGUUCUGAUGGGAUCCGGUGCUUUAGUGCUGGUAUGAUCGCAUCCGACAUACCGUGCGUUCUCCUCCCAUUUAUGCCCGCGCCUCCGUGUACGGCCCGCCCAUAGCUCCUUCGACGCCGCCGCCUAGGAACGCGGAGAAAAUAUGACAAAGGAACGGCCAAAAAUAAAAAGAAAGACCUUUCUUUUGAAAAAACAAACAAAAAAAGGAAUGCAACACGAGGACUUCCCAGGAGGUCACCCAUCCUAGUACUACUCUCGCCCAAGCACGCUUAACUUCGGAGUUCUGAUGGGAUCCGGUGCUUUAGUGCUGGUAUGAUCGCAUCCGACAUACCGUGCGUUCUCCUCCCAUUUAUGCCCGCGCCACCGUGUACGGCCCGCCCAUAGCUCCUUCGACGGCGCCGCCUAGGAACGCGGAGAAAAUAUGACAAAGGAACGGCCAAAAAUAAAAAGAAAGACCUUUCUUUUGGAAAAACAAACAAAAAAGGAAUGCAACACGAGGACUUCCCAGGAGGUCAUCCAUCCUAGUACUACUCUCGCCCAAGCACGCUUAACUUCGGAGUUCUGAUGGGAUCCGGUUCUUUAGUGCUGGUAUGAUCGCAUCCGACAUACGUUGCGUUCUCCUCCCCUUUAUGCCCGCGCCUCCGUGUACGGCCCGCCCAUAGCUCCUUCGACGGCGCCGCCUAGGACCGCGGAGAAAAUAUGACAAAGGAACGGCCAAAAAUAAAAAGAAAGACCUUUCUUUUGAAAAAACAAACAAAAAAAAGGAAUGCAACACGAGGACUUCCCAGGAGGUCACCCAUCCUAGUACUACUCUCGCCCAAGCACGCUUAACUUCGGAGUUCUGAUGGGAUCCGGUGCUUUAGUGCUGGUAUGAUCGCAUCCGACAUACCGUGCGUUCUCCUCCCCUUUAUGCCCGCGCCUCCGUGUACGGCCCGCCCAUAGCUCCUUCGACGGCGCCGCCUAGGAACGCGGAGAAAAUAUGACAAAGGAACGGCCAAAAAUAAAAAGAAAGACCUUUCUUUUGAAAAAACAAACAAAAAAAAGGAAUGCAACACGAGGACUUCCCAGGAGGUCACCCAUCCUAGUACUACUCUCGCCCAAGCACGCUUAACUUCGGAGUUCUGAUGGGAUCCGGUGCUUUAGUGCUGGUAUGAUCGCAUCCGACAUACCGUGCGUUCUCCUCCCCUUUAUGCCCGCGCCUCCGUGUACGGCCCGCCCAUAGCUCCUUCGACGGCGCCGCCUAGGAACGCGGAGAAAAUAUGACAAAGGAACGGCCAAAAAUAAAAAGAAAGACCUUUCUUUUGAAAAAACAAACAAAAAAAAGGAAUGCAACACGAGGACUUCCCAGGAGGUCACCCAUCCUAGUACUACUCUCGCCCAAGCACGCUUAACUUCGGAGUUCUGAUGGGAUCCGGUGCUUUAGUGCUGGUAUGAUCGCAUCCGACAUACCGUGCGUUCUCCUCCCCUUUAUGCCCGCGCCUCCGUGUACGGCCCGCCCAUAGCUCCUUCGACGGCGCCGCCUAGGAACGCGGAGAAAAUAUGACAAAGGAACGGCCAAAAAUAAAAAGAAAGACCUUUCUUUUGAAAAAACAAACAAAAAAAAGGAACGCAACACGAGGACUUCCCAGGAGGUCACCCAUCCUAGUACUACUCUCGCCCAAGCACGCUUAACUUCGGAGUUCUGAUGGGAUCCGGUGCUUUAGUGCUGGUAUGAUCGCAUCCGACAUACCGUGCGUUCUCCUCCCCUUUAUGCCCGCGCCUCCGUGUACGGCCCGCCCAUAGCUCGUUCGACGGCGCCGCCUAGGAACGCGGAGAAAAUAUGACAAAGGAACGGCCAAAAAUAAAAAGAAAGACCUUUCUUUUGAAAAAACAAACAAAAAAAAGGAAUGCAACACGAGGACUUCCCAGGAGGUCACCCAUCCUAGUACUACUCUCGCCCAAGCACGCUUAACUUCGGAGUUCUGAUGGGAUCCGGUGCUUUAGUGCUGGUAUGAUCGCAUUCGACAUACCGUGCGUUCUCCUCCCAUUUAUGCCCGCGCCUCCGUGUACGGCCCGCCCAUAGCUCCUUCGACGGCGCCGCCUAGGAACGCGGAGAAAAUAUGACAAAGAAACGGCCAAAAAUAAAAAGAAAGACCUUUCUUUUGAAAAAACAAACAAAAAAAGGAACGCAACACGAGGACUUCCCAGGAGGUCACCAAUCCUAGUACUACUCUCGCCCAAGCACGCUUAACUUCGGAGUUCUGAUGGGAUCCGGUGCUUUAGUGCUGGUAUGAUCGCAUCCGACAUACCGUGCGUUCUCCUCCCCUUUAUGCCCGCGCCUCCGUGUACGGCCCGCCCAUAGCUCCUUCGACGGCGCCGCCUAGGAACGCGGAGAAAAUAUGACAAAGGAACGGCCAAAAAUAAAAAGAAAGACCUUUCUUUUGAAAAAACAAACAAAAAAAAAGAAUGCAACACGAGGACUUCCCAGGAGGUCACCCAUCCUAGUACUACUCUCGCCCAAGCACGCUUAACUUCGGAGUUCUGAUGGGAUCCGGUGCUUUAGUGCUGGUAUGAUCGCAUCCGACAUACCGUGCGUUCUCCUCCCCUUUAUGCCCGCGCCUCCGUGUACGGCCCGUCCAUAGCUCCUUCGACGGCGCCGCCUAGGAACGCGGAGAAAAUAUGACAAAGGAACGGCCAAAAAUAAAAAGAAAGACCUUUCUUUUGAAAAAACAAACGCCUCCGUGUACGGCCCGCCCAUAGCUCCUUCGACGGCGCCGCCUAGGAACGCGGAGAAAAUAUGACAAAGGAACGGCCAAAAAUAAAAAGAAAGACCUUUCUUUUGAAAAAACAAACAAAUAAAAGGAAUGCAACACGAGGACUUCCCAGGAGGUCACCCAUCCUAGUACUACUCUCGCCCAAGCACGCUUAACUUCGGAGUUCUGAUGGGAUCCGGUGCUUUAGUGCUGGUAUGAUCGCAUCCGACAUACCGUGCGUUCUCCUCCCCUUUAUGCCCGCGCCUCCGUGUACGGCCCGCCCAUAGCUCCUUCGACGGCGCCGCCUAGGAACGCGGAGAAAAUAUGACAAAGGAACGGCCAAAAAUAAAAAGAAAGACCUUUCUUUUGAAAAAACAAACGCCUCCGUGUACGGCCCGCCCAUAGCUCCUUCGACGGCGCCGCCUAGGAACGCGGAGAAAAUAUGACAAAGGAACGGCCAAAAAUAAAAAGAAAGACCUUUCUUUUGAAAAAACAAACAAAAAAAAGGAAUGCAACACGAGGACUUCCCAGGAGGUCACCCAUCCUAGUACUACUCUCGCCCAAGCACGCUUAACUUCGGAGUUCUGAUGGGAUCCGGUGCUUUAGUGCUGGUAUGAUCGCAUCCGACAUACCGUGCGUUCUCCUCCCCUUUAUGCCCGCGCCUCCGUGUACGGCCCGCCCAUAGCUCCUUCGACGGCGCCGCCUAGGAACGCGGAGAAAAUAUGACAAAGGAACGGCCAAAAAUAAAAAGAAAGACCUUUCUUUUGAAAAAACAAACAAAUAAAAGGAAUGCAACACGAGGACUUCCCAGGAGGUCACCCAUCCUAGUACUACUCUCGCCCAAGCACGCUUAACUUCGGAGUUCUGAUGGGAUCCGGUGCUUUAGUGCUGGUAUGAUCGCAUCCGACAUACCGUGCGUUCUCCUCCCCUUUAUGCGCCACGCCUCCGUGUACGGUCCGCCCAUAGCUCCUUCGACGCCGCCGCCUAGGAACGCGGAGAAAAUAUGACAAAGGAACGGCCAAAAAUCAAAAGAAAGACCUUUCUUCUGAAAAAACACACGCCUCCGUGUACGGCCCGCCCAUAGCUCCUUCGACGGCGCCGCCUAGGAACGCGGAGAAAAUAUGACAAAGGAACGGCCAAAAAUAAAAAGAAAGACCUUUCUUAUUGAAAAAACAAACAAAUAAAAGGAAUGCAACACGAGGACUUCCCAGGAGGUCACCCAUCCUAGUACUACUCUCGCCCAAGCACGCUUAACUUCGGAGUUCUGAUGGGAUCCGGUGCUUUAGUGCUGGUAUGAUCGCAUCCGACAUACCGUGCGUUCUCCUCCCCUUUAUGCCCGCGCCUCCGUGUACGGCCCGCCCAUAGCUCCUUCGACGGCGCCGCCUAGGAACGCGGAGAAAAUAUGACAAAGGAACGGCCAAAAAUAAAAAGAAAGACCUUUCUUUUGAAAAAACAAACGCCUCCGUGUACGGCCCGCCCAUAGCUCCUUCGACGGCGCCGCCUAGGAACGCGGAGAAAAUAUGACAAAGGAACAGCUAAAAAUAAAAAGAAAGACCUUUCUUUUGAAAAAACAAACAAAAAAAGGAAUGCAACACGAGGACUUCCGAGGAGGUCACCCAUCCCAGUACUACUCUCGCCCAAGCACGCUUAACUUCGGAGUUCUGAUGGGAUCCGGUGCUUUAGUGCUGGUAUGAUCGCAUCCGACAUACCGUGCGUUCUCCUCCCCUUUAUGCCCGCGCCUCCGUGUACGGCCCGCCCAUAGCUCCUUCGACGGCGCCGCCUAGGAACGCGGAGAAAAUAUGACAAAGGAACGGCCAAAAAUAAAAAGAAAGACCUUUCUUUUGAAAAAACAAACAAAAAAAAGGAACGCAACACGAGGACUUCCCAGGAGGUCACCCAUCCUAGUACUACUCUCGCCCAAGCACGCUUAACUUCGGAGUUCUGAUGGGAUCCGGUGCUUUAGUGCUGGUAUGAUCGCAUCCGACAUACCGUGCGUUCUCCUCCCCUUUAUGCCCGCGCCUCCGUGUACGGCCCGCCCAUAGCUCGUUCGACGGCGCCGCCUAGGAACGCGGAGAAAAUAUGACAAAAGAACGGCCAAAAAUAAAAAGAAAGACCUUUCUUUUGAAAAAAGAAACAAAAAAAGGAAUGCAACACGAGGACUUCCCAAGAGGUCACCCAUCCUAGUGCUACUCUCGCCCAAGCACGCUUAACUUCGAAGUUCUGAUGGGAUCCGGUGCUUCAGUGCUGGUAUGAUCGCAUCCGACAUACCGUGCGUUCUCCUCUCCUUUAUGGCCACGCCUCCGUGUACGGUCCGCCCAUAGCUCCUUCGACGCCGCCGCCUAGGAACGCGGAGAAAAUAUGACAAAGGAACGACCAAAAAUAAAAAGAAAGAUCUUUCUUUUCAAAAAACAAACAAAAAAAGGAAUGCAACACGAGGACUUCCGAGGAGGUCACCCAUCCCAGUACUAUUCUCGCCCAAGCACGCUUAACUUCGGAGUUCUGAUGGGAUCCGGUGCUUUAGUGCUGGUAUGAUCGCAUCCGACAUACCGUGCGUUCUCCUCCCCUUUAUGCCCGCGCCUCCGUGUACGGCCCGCCCAUAGCUCCUUCGACGGCGCCGCCUAGGAACGCGGAGAAAAUAUGACAAAGGAACGGCCAAAAAUAAAAAGAAAGACCUUUCUUUUGAAAAAACAAACAAAUAAAAGGAAUGCAACACGAGGACUUCCCAGGAGGUCACCCAUCCUAGUACUACUCUCGCCCAAGCACGCUUAACUUCGGAGUUCUGAUGGGAUCCGGUGCUUUAGUGCUGGUAUGAUCGCAUCCGACAUACCGUGCGUUCUCCUCCCCUUUAUGCCCGCGCCUCCGUGUACGGCCCGCCCAUAGCUCCUUCGACGGCGCCGCCUAGGAACGCGGAGAAAAUAUGACAAAGGAACGGCCAAAAAUAAAAAGAAAGACCUUUCUUUUGAAAAAACAAACAAAUAAAAGGAAUGCAACACGAGGACUUCCCAGGAGGUCACCCAUCCUAGUACUACUCUCGCCCAAGCACGCUUAACUUCGGAGUUCUGAUGGGAUCCGGUGCUUUAGUGCUGGUAUGAUCGCAUCCGACAUACCGUGCGUUCUCCUCCCCUUUAUGCCCGCGCCUCCGUGUACGGUCCGCCCAUAGCUCCUUCGACGGCGCCGCCUAGGAACGCGGAGAAAAUAUGACAAAGGAACGGCCAAAAAUAAAAAGAAAGACCUUUCUUUUGAAAAAACAAACAAAUAAAAGGAAUGCAACACGAGGACUUCCCAGGAGGUCACCCAUCCUAGUACUACUCUCGCCCAAGCACGCUUAACUUCGGAGUUCUGAUGGGAUCCGGUGCUUUAGUGCUGGUAUGAUCGCAUCCGACAUACCGUGCGUUCUCCUCCCCUUUAUGCCCGCGCCUCCGUGUACGGCCCGCCCAUAGCUCCUUCGACGGCGCCGCCUAGGAACGCGGAGAAAAUAUGACAAAGGAACGGCCAAAAAUAAAAAGAAAGACCUUUCUUUUGAAAAAACAAACGCCUCCGUGUACGGCCCGCCCAUAGCUCCUUCGACGGCGCCGCCUAGGAACGCGGAGAAAAUAUGACAAAGGAACGGCCAAAAAUAAAAAGAAAGACCUUUCUUUUGAAAAAACAAACAAAAAAAAGGAAUGCAACACGAGGACUUCCCAGGAGGUCACCCAUCCUAGUACUACUCUCGCCCAAGCACGCUUAACUUCGGAGUUCUGAUGGGAUCCGGUGCUUUAGUGCUGGUAUGAUCGCAUCCGACAUACCGUGCGUUCUCCUCCCCUUUAUGCCCGCGCCUCCGUGUACGGCCCGCCCAUAGCUCCUUCGACGGCGCCGCCUAGGAACGCGGAGAAAAUAUGACAAAGGAACGGCCAAAAAUAAAAAGAAAGACCUUUCUUUUGAAAAAACAAACGCCUCCGUGUACGGCCCGCCCAUAGCUCCUUCGACGGCGCCGCCUAGGAACGCGGAGAAAAUAUGACAAAGGAACGGCCAAAAAUAAAAAGAAAGACCUUUCUUUUGAAAAAACAAACAAAAAAAAGGAAUGCAACACGAGGACUUCCCAGGAGGUCACCCAUCCUAGUACUACUCUCGCCCAAGCACGCUUAACUUCGGAGUUCUGAUGGGAUCCGGUGCUUUAGUGCUGGUAUGAUCGCAUCCGACAUACCGUGCGUUCUCCUCCCCUUUAUGCCCGCGCCUCCGUGUACGGCCCGCCCAUAGCUCCUUCGACGGCGCCGCCUAGGAACGCGGAGAAAAUAUGACAAAGGAACGGCCAAAAAUAAAAAGAAAGACCUUUCUUUUGAAAAAACAAACGCCUCCGUGUACGGCCCGCCCAUAGCUCCUUCGACGGCGCCGCCUAGGAACGCGGAGAAAAUAUGACAAAGGAACGGCCAAAAAUAAAAAGAAAGACCUUUCUUUUGAAAAAACAAACAAAAAAAAGGAAUGCAACACGAGGACUUCCCAGGAGGUCACCCAUCCUAGUACUACUCUCGCCCAAGCACGCUUAACUUCGGAGUUCUGAUGGGAUCCGGUGCUUUAGUGCUGGUAUGAUCGCAUCCGACAUACCGUGCGUUCUCCUCCCCUUUAUGCCCGCGCCUCCGUGUACGGCCCGCCCAUAGCUCCUUCGACGGCGCCGCCUAGGAACGCGGAGAAGAUAUGACGAAGGAACGGCCAAAAAUAAAAAGAAAGACCUUUCUUUUGAAAAAACAUACGCCUCCGUGUACGGCCCGCCCAUAGCUCCUUCGACGGCGCCGCCUAGGAACGCGGAGAAAAUAUGACAAAGGAACGGCCAAAAAUAAAAAGAAAGACCUUUCUUUUGAAAAAACAAACAAAUAAAAGGAAUGCAACACGAGGACUUCCCAGGAGGUCACCCAUCCUAGUACUACUCUCGCCCAAGCACGCUUAACUUCGGAGUUCUGAUGGGUUCCGGUGCUUUAGUGCUGGUAUGAUCGCAUUCGACAUACCGUGCGUUCUCCUCCCCUUUAUGCCCGCGCCUCCGUGUACGGCCCGCCCAUAGCUCCUUCGACGGCGCCGCCUAGGAACGCGGAGAAAAUAUGACAAAGGAACGGCCAAAAAUAAAAAGAAAGACCUUUCUUUUGAAAAAACAAACAAAUAAAAGGAAUGCAACACGAGGACUUCCCAGGAGGUCACCCAUCCUAGUACUACUCUCGCCCAAGCACGCUUAACUUCGGAGUUCUGAUGGGAACCGGUGCUUUAGUGCUGGUAUGAUCGCAUCCGACAUACCGUGCGUUCUCCUCCCCUUUAUGCCCGCGCCUCCGUGUACGGCCCGCCCAUAGCUCCUUCGACGGCGCCGCCUAGGAACGCGGAGAAAAUAUGACAAAGGAACGGCCAAAAAUAAAAAGAAAGACCUUUCUUUUGAAAAAACAAACAAAUAAAAGGAAUGCAACACGAGGACUUCCCAGGAGGUCACCCAUCCUAGUACUACUCUCGCCCAAGCACGCUUAACUUCGGAGUUCUGAUGGGAUCCGGUGCUUUAGUGCUGGUAUGAUCGCAUCCGACAUACCGUGCGUUCUCCUCCCCUUUAUGCCCGCGCCUCCGUGUACGGCCCGCCCAUAGCUCCUUCGACGGCGCCGCCUAGGAACGCGGAGAAAAUAUGACAAAGGAACGGCCAAAAAUAAAAAGAAAGACCUUUCUUUUGAAAAAACAAACAAAAAAAAGGAAUGCAACACGAGGACUUCCCAGGAGGUCACCCAUCCUAGUACUACUCUCGCCCAAGCACGCUUAACUUCGGAGUUCUGAUGGGAUCCGGUGCUUUAGUGCUGGUAUGAUCGACAUCCGACAUCACGCGUGCGUUCUCCUCCCCUUUGAUGCCCGCGCCUCCGUGUACGGCCGCCCAUAGCUCCUUCGACGGCGCCGCCUAGGAACGCGGAGAAAAUAUGACAAAGGAACGGCCAAAAAUAAAAAGAAAGACCUUUCUUUUGAAAAAACAAACAAAAAAAAGGAAUGCAACACGAGGACUUCCCAGGAGGUCACCCAUCCUAGUACUACUCUCGCCCAAGCACGCUUAACUUCGGAGUUCUGAUGGGAUCCGGUGCUUUAGUGCUGGUAUGAUCGCAUCCGACAUACCGUGCGUUCUCCUCCCCUUUAUGCCCGCGCCUCCGUGUACGGCCCGCCCAUAGCUCCUUCGACGGCGCCGCCUAGGAACGCGGAGAAAAUAUGACAAAGGAACGGCCAAAAAUAAAAAGAAAGACCUUUCUUUUGAAAAAACAAACGCCUCCGUGUACGGCCCGCCCAUAGCUCCUUCGACGGCGCCGCCUAGGAACGCGGAGAAAAUAUGACAAAGGAACGGCCAAAAAUAAAAAGAAAGACCUUUCUUUUGAAAAAACAAACAAAUAAAAGGAAUGCAACACGAGGACUUCCCAGGAGGUCACCCAUCCUAGUACUACUCUCGCCCAAGCACGCUUAACUUCGGAGUUCUGAUGGGAUCCGGUGCUUUAGUGCUGGUAUGAUCGCAUCCGACAUACCGUGCGUUCUCCUCCCCUUUAUGCCCGCGCCUCCGUGUACGGCCCGCCCAUAGCUCCUUCGACGGCGCCGCCUAGGAACGCGGAGAAAAUAUGACAAAGGAACGGCCAAAAAUAAAAAGAAAGACCUUUCUUUUGAAAAAACAAACGCCUCCGUGUACGGCCCGCCCAUAGCUCCUUCGACGGCGCCGCCUAGGAACGCGGAGAAAAUAUGACAAAGGAACGGCCAAAAAUAAAAAGAAAGACCUUUCUUUUGAAAAAACAAACAAAUAAAAGGAAUGCAACACGAGGACUUCCCAGGAGGUCACCCAUCCUAGUACUACUCUCGCCCAAGCACGCUUAACUUCGGAGUUCUGAUGGGAUCCGGUGCUUUAGUGCUGGUAUGAUCGCAUCCGACAUACCGUGCGUUCUCCUCCCCUUUAUGCCCGCGCCUCCGUGUACGGCCCGCCCAUAGCUCCUUCGACGGCGCCGCCUAGGAACGCGGAGAAAAUAUGACAAAGGAACGGCCAAAAAUAAAAAGAAAGACCUUUCUUUUGAAAAAACAAACGCCUCCGUGUACGGCCCGCCCAUAGCUCCUUCGACGGCGCCGCCUAGGAACGCGGAGAAAAUAUGACAAAGGAACGGCCAAAAAUAAAAAGAAAGACCUUUCUUUUGAAAAAACAAACAAAUAAAAGGAAUGCAACACGAGGACUUCCCAGGAGGUCACCCAUCCUAGUACUACUCUCGCCCAAGCACGCUUAACUUCGGAGUUCUGAUGGGAUCCGGUGCUUUAGUGCUGGUAUGAUCGCAUCCGACAUACCGUGCGUUCUCCUCCCCUUUAUGCCCGCGCCUCCGUGUACGGCCCGCCCAUAGCUCCUUCGACGGCGCCGCCUAGGAACGCGGAGAAAAUAUGACAAAGGAACGGCCAAAAAUAAAAAGAAAGACCUUUCUUUUGAAAAAACAAACAAAUAAAAGGAAUGCAACACGAGGACUUCCCAGGAGGUCACCCAUCCUAGUACUACUCUCGCCCAAGCACGCUUAACUUCGGAGUUCUGAUGGGAUCCGGUGCUUUAGUGCUGGUAUGAUCGCAUUCGACAUACCGUGCGUUCUCCUCCCAUUUAUGCCCGCGCCUCCGUGUACGGCCCGCCCAUAGCUCCUUCGACGGCGCCGCCUAGGAACGCGGAGAAGAUAUGACAAAGGAACGGCCAAAAAUAAAAAGAAAGACCUUUCUUUUGAAAAAACAAACAAAUAAAAGGAAUGCAACACGAGGACUUCCCAGGAGGUCACCCAUCCUAGUACUACUCUCGCCCAAGCACGCUUAACUUCGGAGUUCUGAUGGGAUCCGGUGCUUUAGUGCUGGUAUGAUCGCAUCCGACAUACCGUGCGUUCUCCUCCCCUUUAUGCCCGCGCCUCCGUGUACGGCCCGCCCAUAGCUCCUUCGACGGCGCCGCCUAGGAACGCGGAGAAAAUAUGACAAAGGAACGGCCAAAAAUAAAAAGAAAGACCUUUCUUUUGAAAAAACAAACAAAAAAAAGGAAUGCAACACGAGGACUUCCCAGGAGGUCACCCAUCCUAGUACUACUCUCGCCCAAGCACGCUUAACUUCGGAGUUCUGAUGGGAUCCGGUGCUUUAGUGCUGGUAUGAUCGCAUCCGACAUACCGUGCGUUCUCCUCCCCUUUAUGCCCGCGCCUCCGUGUACGGCCCGCCCAUAGCUCCUUCGACGGCGCCGCCUAGGAACGCGGAGAAAAUAUGACAAAGGAACGGCCAAAAAUAAAAAGAAAGACCUUUCUUUUGAAAAAACAAACAAAAAAAAGGAAUGCAACACGAGGACUUCCCAGGAGGUCACCCAUCCUAGUACUACUCUCGCCCAAGCACGCUUAACUUCGGAGUUCUAAUGGGAUCCGGUGCUUUAGUGCUGGUAUGAUCGCAUCCGACUACCGUGCGUUCUCCUCCCCUUUAUGCCCGCGCCUCCGUGUACGGCCCGCCCAUAGGUCCUUCGACGGCGCCGCCUAGGAACGCGGAGAAAAUAUGACAAAGGAACGGCCAAAAAUAAAAAGAAAGACCUUUCUUUUGAAAAAACAAACAAAAAAAAGGAAUGCAACACGAGGACUUCCCAGGAGGUCACCCAUCCUAGUAAUACUCUUUGAUGGGAUCCGGUGCUUUAGUGCUGGUAUGAUCGCAUCCGACAUACCGGGCGUUCUCCUCCCCUUUAUGCCCGCGCCUCCGUGUACGGCCCGCCCAUAGCUCCUUCGACGGCGCCGCCUAGGAACGCGGAGAAAAUAUGACAAAGGAACGGCCAAAAAUAAAAAGAAAGACCUUUCUUUUGAAAAAACAAACAAAAAAAGGAAUGCCACACGAAGACUUCCCAGGAGGGCACCCAUCCCAGGACUACUCUCGGCCAAGCACGCUUAAAUUCCGAGUUCUGAUGGGAUCCGGUGCUUUAGGGGUGGGAUGAUCGCAUCCGACAUACCGUGCGGUCUCCUCCCCUUUAUGCCCGCGCCUCCGUGUACGGCCCGGCCAUAGCUCCUUCGACGGCGCCGCCUAGGAACGCGGAGAAAAUAUGACAAAGGAACGGCCAAAAAUAAAAAGAAAGACCUUUCUUUUGAAAAAACAAACAAAUAAAAGGAAUGCAACACGAGGACUUCCCAGGAGGUCACCCAUCCUAGUACUACUCUCGCCCAAGCACGCUUAACUUCGGAGUUCUGAUGGGAUCCGGUGCUUUAGUGCUGGUAUGAUCGCAUCCGACAUACCGUGCGUUCUCCUCCCCUUUAUGCCCGCGCCUCCGUGUACGGCCCGCCCAUAGCUCCUUCGACGGCGCCGCCUAGGAACGCGGAGAAAAUAUGACAAAGGAACGGCCAAAAAUAAAAAGAAAGACCUUUCUUUUGAAAAAACAAACAAAUAAAAGGAAUGCAACACGAGGACUUCCCAGGAGGUCACCCAUCCUAGUACUACUCUCGCCCAAGCACGCUUAACUUCGGAGUUCUGAUGGGAUCCGGUGCUUUAGUGCUGGUAUGAUCGCAUCCGACAUACCGUGCGUUCUCCUCCCCUUUAUGCCCGCGCCUCCGUGUACGGCCCGCCCAUAGCUCCUUCGACGGCGCCGCCUAGGAACGCGGAGAAAAUAUGACAAAGGAACGGCCAAAAAUAAAAAGAAAGACCUUUCUUUUGAAAAAACAAACAAAAAAAAGGAAUGCAACACGAGGACUUCCCAGGAGGUCACCCAUCCUAGUACUACUCUCGCCCAAGCACGCUUAACUUCGGAGUUCUGAUGGGAUCCGGUGCUUUAGUGCUGGUAUGAUCGAAUCCGACAUACCGUGCGUUCUCCUCCCCUUUAUGCCCGCGCCUCCGUGUACGGCCCGCCCAUAGCUCCUUCGACGGCGCCGCCUAGGAACGCGGAGAAAAUAUGACAAAGGAACGGCCAAAAAUAAAAAGAAAGACCUUUCUUUUGAAAAAACAUACAAAUAAAAGGAAUGCAACACGAGGACUUCCCAGGAGGUCACCCAUCCUAGUACUACUCUCGCCCAAGCACGCGUAACUUCGGAGUUCUGAUGGGAUCCGGUGCUUUAGUGCUGGUAUGAUCGCAUCCGACAUACCGUGCGUUCUCCUCCCCUUUAUGCCCGCGCCUCCGUGUACGGCCCGCCCAUAGCUCCUUCGACGGCGCCGCCUAGGAACGCGGAGAAAAUAUGACAAAGGAACGGCCAAAAAUAAAAAGAAAGACCUUUCUUUUGAAAAAACAAACAAAUAAAAGGAAUGCAACAGGAGGACUUCCCAGGAAGUCACCCAUCCUAGUACUACUCUCGCCCAAGCACGCUUAACUUCGGAGUUCUGAUGGGAUCCGGUGCUUUAGUGCUGGUAUGAUCGCAUCCGACAUACCGUGCGUUCUCCUCCCCUUUAUGCCCGCGCCUCCGUGUACGGCCCGCCCAUAGCUCCUUCGACGGCGCCGCCUAGGAACGCGGAGAAAAUAUGACAAAGGAACGGCCAAAAAUAAAAAGAAAGACCUUUCUUUUGAAAAAACAAACAAAAAAAAGGAAUGCAACACGAGGACUUCCCAGGAGGUCACCCAUCCUAGUACUACUCUCGCCCAAGAACGCUUAACUUCGGAGUUCUGAUGGGAUCCGGAGCUUUAGUGCUGGUAUGAUCGCAUCCGACAUACCGUGCGUUCUCCUCCCCUUUAUGCCCGCGCCUCCGUGUACGGCCCGCCCAUAGCUCCUUCGACGGCGCCGCCUAGGAACGCGGAGAAA